GAAUGUGAGGGCAAUCUGGCUGUGACAUGUCACCCCAUUAAUUGCCAGGGUUGAUUCAGCUGAUCUGGCUGGUUAGGUGGGUGUCUCCCCCCACACACACCAUCACCCCAUGUACGUUGUUCAUGAAGCUGUGCACUUAGUGGAAGAGGACGACCAUCCAGGAUAGAGGAGGACCCAUUCCUCAGUCAAGGGUAUAGGAGCAGUUUUGCUCCCUUGCUGGAACCUCCAAACAAGCUCUCAAAACUGAAGAGGAAAUUCAGAUAUUCCAAUGUGACAAAAACAAAGAAUUUGGACUAGCAGUCCUGCUCU
Molecule: unclassified non-coding RNA, 309 nt
Organism: Cavia porcellus (domestic guinea pig)
Lineage: Eukaryota; Metazoa; Chordata; Mammalia; Rodentia; Caviidae
Gene: 7SK
Rfam family: 7SK RNA
About the family: 7SK was discovered as an abundant small nuclear RNA in the mid-70s but a possible function has only recently been suggested. Two independent studies have found that 7SK RNA binds the CDK9/cyclin T complex (known as elongation factor P-TEFb).
Source: Ensembl